This 449-nucleotide ribosomal RNA is filed under the name uncultured bacterium. RNAcentral describes it as "bacterial SSU rRNA". It matches the Rfam family "Bacterial small subunit ribosomal RNA", at positions 90 to 518 of the family's 1533-position model. The record is from RNAcentral.
GAAGAGUGGCGGACGGGUGAGUAACACGUGGGUAACCGUACCUACAAGCGGGGGAGUAACAUUCGGAAACGGAUGCUAAUACCGCAUAGAUCUUUUUGUCUCCUGGCAGAAAGAAGAAAGACGGUUUCGGCUGUCACUUGUAGAUGGACCCGCGGCGCAUUAGUUAGUUGGUGAGGUAAUGGCUCACCAAGACGAUGAUGCGUAGCCGACCUGAGAGGGUGAUCGGCCACACUGGGACUGAGACACGGCCCAGACUCCUACGGGAGGGCAGCAGUAGGGAAGUCUUCCGCAAUGGACGAAAGUCUGACGGAGCAACGCCGCGUGAGUGAAAAGAAGGUUUUCGGUAUCGUAAAACUCUGUUGUUAGAGAAGAACAAGGAUGAGAGUAACUGCUCGUCCCUUGACGGUAUCUAACCAGAAAGCCAUGGCUAACUACGUGCCAGCCGCCGC